Small nucleolar RNA from Alligator mississippiensis (American alligator), 126 nucleotides. It matches the Rfam family "Small nucleolar RNA SNORD94". Rfam says of the family: The members of this family belong to the C/D class of snoRNAs which contain the C (UGAUGA) and D (CUGA) box motifs. Most of the members of the box C/D family function in directing site-specific 2'-O-methylation of substrate RNAs. The record is from Rfam. NCBI's taxonomy places the organism in Eukaryota, Metazoa, Chordata, Crocodylia, Alligatoridae.
CAGGGAUGAUUGGCGCAGGGGUACGGACCUCAGCUGAAUCAUGGGAGCUGAGUGUAAAUAUUUCUCUCCUCCACGUGGUAGAAAAUGGAGAAUGUUUACAUGAGACUUGUGCCUAAGUCUGAGCUG